Molecule: ribosomal RNA, 455 nt
Filed under: uncultured bacterium
Lineage: Bacteria
Description: bacterial SSU rRNA
Rfam family: Bacterial small subunit ribosomal RNA
Source: RNAcentral
UACGGGAGGCAGCAGUGGGGAAUAUUACACAAUGGGCGCAAGCCUGAUGCAGCCAUGCCGCGUGUAUGAAGAAGGCCUUCGGGUUGUAAAGUACUUUCAGUCGUGAGGAAGGUGUUAAGGUUAAUAACCUUAGCAAUUGACGUUAGCGACAGAAGAAGCACCGGCUAACUCCGUGCCAGCAGCCGCGGUAAUACGGAGGGUGCGAGCGUUAAUCGGAAUUACUGGGCGUAAAGGGCACGCAGGCGGUUAAUUAAGUUGGAUGUGAAAUCCCCGGGCUUAACCUGGGAAUGGCAUUCAAGACUGGUUAGCUAGAGUCUUGUAGAGGGGGGUAGAAUUCCGAUGUGUAGCGGUGAAAUGCGUAGAGAUGUGGAGGAAUACCGGUGGCGAAGGCGGCCCCUGGACAAAGACUGACGCUCAUGUGCGAAAGCGUGGGGAGCAAACGAGGGAUUAGAUAC